UACGUAGGGGGCAAGCGUUGUCCGGAAUCAUUGGGCGUAAAGAGCGUGUAGGCGGCCAGAAAAGUCCGCUGUGAAAACUCGAGGCUCAACUUCGAGCUGUCGGUGGAAACUUUCUGGCUAGAGUCCGGAAGAGGAGAAUGGAAUUCCUGGUGUAGCGGUGAAAUGCGCAGAUAUCAGGAAGAACACCCGUGGCGAAGGCGGUUCUCUGGGACGGUACUGACGCUGAGACGCGAAGGCCAGGGGAGCAAACGGG
Molecule: ribosomal RNA, 253 nt
Filed under: uncultured bacterium
Lineage: Bacteria
Description: partial 16S ribosomal RNA
Rfam family: Bacterial small subunit ribosomal RNA
Source: RNAcentral